Molecule: non-coding RNA, 245 nt
Organism: Desulfobacula toluolica Tol2
Lineage: Bacteria; Pseudomonadati; Thermodesulfobacteriota; Desulfobacteria; Desulfobacterales; Desulfobacteraceae
Source: Rfam
AGAAUUCAAUAAAAUCAAAUACUUAGCUUGGAUCGGUAUAAUGACUAAUGAAUGCAGCGAACAAGAUGGGUUAAGCGUAGGCAGAGAAUCUUGUAGGCCGUAGGGGUGAUCGCGCGCACCCUGAAGUGCUGGUACAGCUUCGAAAUGGUAAUUGCGGAUGCCGAGGGUUUCAACGUACGCCGAAGUUAACACAGAAGCAUUCGUUAAUGGCGAGAAUGUGGAGGUCUGCCGGAGUCAACAGGCCG